GACGAACGCUGGCGGCGCGCCUAACACAUGCAAGUCGAACGGAGCUGAGAGGAGCUUGCUUUUCUUAGCUUAGUGGCGAACGGGUGAGUAACGCGUGAGUAACCUGCCCUGGAGUGGGGGACAACAGUUGGAAACGACUGCUAAUACCGCAUAAGCCCACGGCCCGGCAUCGGGCUGAGGGAAAAGGAUUUAUUCGCUUCAGGAUGGACUCGCGUCCAAUUAGCUAGUUGGUGAGGUAACGGCCCACCAAGGCGACGAUUGGUAGCCGGACUGAGAGGUUGAACGGCCACAUUGGGACUGAGACACGGCCCAGACUCCUACGGGAGGCAGCAGUGGGGGAUAUUGCACAAUGGGGGAAACCCUGAUGCAGCGACGCCGCGUGGAGGAAGAAGGUUUUCGGAUUGUAAACUCCUGUCGU
RNAcentral lists this ribosomal RNA (418 nucleotides) under uncultured bacterium. RNAcentral describes it as "bacterial SSU rRNA". It matches the Rfam family "Bacterial small subunit ribosomal RNA", at positions 28 to 439 of the family's 1533-position model. The record is from RNAcentral.